GACGAACGCUGGCGGCGUGCUUAACACAUGCAAGUCGAGCGGAAAGGCCCUUCGGGGUACUCGAGCGGCGAACGGGUGAGUAACACGUGAGCAAUCUGCCCUUAGCUUCGGGAUAGCUCCGGGAAACCGGAAUUAAUACCGGAUAUGACUAUGGCUGACAUCAGCCACGGUGGAAAGUUUUUCGGCUAGGGAUGAGCUCGCGGCCUAUCAGCUAGUUGGUGGGGUAACGGCCCACCAAGGCGACGACGGGUAGCCGGCCUGAGAGGGCGA
Molecule: ribosomal RNA, 270 nt
Filed under: uncultured bacterium
Lineage: Bacteria
Description: partial 16S ribosomal RNA
Rfam family: Bacterial small subunit ribosomal RNA
Source: RNAcentral